UGCCAGCCGCCGCGGUAAUACGGAGGGUGCGAGCGUUAAUCGGAAUUACUGGGCGUAAAGCGUGCGCGGGCGGCUUUUUAAGACAGGUGUGAAAUCCCCGGGCUUAACCUGGGAAUGGCGCUUGUGACUGGAAGGCUAGAGUGCGGCAGAGGGGGAUGGAAUUCCUGGUGUAGCGGUGAAAUUCGUAGAUAUCAGGAGGAACACCGAUGGCGAAGGCAUCUCUCUGGGUCGAUAUUGACGCUGAGGCGCGAAGGCGUGGGUAGCGAACGGGAUUAGAUA
Molecule: ribosomal RNA, 279 nt
Filed under: uncultured bacterium
Lineage: Bacteria
Description: partial 16S ribosomal RNA
Rfam family: Bacterial small subunit ribosomal RNA
Source: RNAcentral